GUGAAGACAUCACCGUUGGCCUCUCUGCCAAGCACUGAUGAAAUUGCUGCUGGCAUGUUUGCUCAGGACAGGCUUCAGAGACCUCGUUAUCGGCAUGGGAUCAGUGAGGCUGGACUUCAGAGAAGGGCCAGUUAAAUGUUAUUAGGGAUUCAGACAGAAGGAUUGCUAGGGCAGAUUUAAAAUAAGUUAUACCUUGCAUUUAUUUUUUAAACCGUGUCUCAUGAUUAUUGUAGUUCUGCUUUUCAAGAGAGAAGAGGAAGAAUCUGAGCACUGUGGAAAGCCAAGUCCUAAGUGACCCAGCCUGGGCAGCAGCAGCAGCAGAGGUGACAAGAGGCCUCAGCAGAUAAGGUUAUCCUCACUAAACCAGUGGUCUCAUAAGCAAGUGGCUGGAUGAAGCUAUUUUGAGAUUCCAACACAAAACUGGUGUGAACACACUAAGUCUCUGUUCUGAGGUUGUCUAUUAAAAUAAGGAUAUUAAGUAUAUUAAAAUCUACUUCACUUCAGCUGGGUGAUCUCAGCUUAUCAUCACAUAUUUUAUUAAAACACAGUAAGGGCCAGAAACUUCUGAGCAGUCGCUGCGGUUUGUUCACUGCAGCCUCCAGCCUCCGUGUGGGAACAGCUGCUGUGGGAUGUCCCCAGGCCCUUUCAUCUCCAGGAUGGCUUCUCUGUGUCAGGAUGAAACAGCUGGAGUUCAGAACUGUCAAGUUACUGCUGUUUAAUGAGUACCACAUCACUUCAACCACGGAAAUAAGUUGUUUGUGCUCUUACUUCCUGUUGGAAAUGAGAAAUUAACUACCUUGGCUUAAAUCUUUGCAGAUCGAAACUAGCAUGCUUUGUUUUUGCUGGGGACUGAGAGCUUUUAGCUACUGCUCCUGCGCAGGGACUUGUUCAGCUGCCGGGACCACUUAGGUGUCUGAGCCCUUACAUAUAUUUUAACAAGAACUAAAUUAUCUUGGUGUGUACCGGGGACACUUAUCAUUGCUAACAGCUCUCCUUGGCACCAGAAGCUCUUCUAGGCAUAGUGUCUCUGUUCUCAUAAUUAUAGUUACACUACCAACUUGCUAUAAUUAGACAAGUUAAAAAUUCUCUGAGCUCCUACUUAUUGCUGAAACACGCUAAAUUCCGGAUGCAGUUGUCGCUGAGAAAAAACACUUCGAAGCUUUAGCUCCAACAUAGGCAGAAUCCUCACACCCUCCUCUCCUUUCACUUCAAUGGAGCUUUUUGGGUGGACUUAACAUGUGUGGCUGGACUUUGUAAACAGCUCUUCUUGUCUUUUUAUUAUAUACCAGGAGAAGUAUUGGAGGUUCAGUGGAAUGUUUUUUUUAAAGAAUUUCUUUAUGCCACCUCCCACCCUUAAUUGUCAGGUUUUUGUUAUUUUAUUACAACAGUUUUUCACUGAAUGUACUUAUUUCUGUGUUGGGGGCUGCAUAGAGCAUCCUCUGAGACUUGGGAAGAAUAAUCAGUUCACUCCUUUAUUCUGUGCGAAGCAUCUGCGCUCCUCAUCCCUUACCUCUUGCAGAUAGCGGGUGUGAGCUCUGGCACAGCAUGGACAAGCGGUUCUUGCUUUGAACUGCUGCCAAAUUCAAUAAACCGUCAGCUUCGAUGUA
Molecule: long non-coding RNA, 1607 nt
Organism: Tyto alba (common barn owl)
Lineage: Eukaryota; Metazoa; Chordata; Aves; Strigiformes; Tytonidae
Exons: 3
Source: RefSeq, a predicted model, not a curated record